CUACGGGAGGCAGCAGUGGGGAAUAUUGGACAAUGGGCGAAAGCCUGAUCCAGCCAUGCCGCGUGGGUGAAGAAGGCCUUAGGGUUGUAAAUCCCUUUCAGCGGGGAAGAUAAUGACGGUACCCGCAGAAGAAGCCCCGGCUAACUCCGUGCCAGCAGCCGCGGUAAUACGGAGGGGGCUAGCGUUGUUCGGAAUUACUGGGCGUAAAGCGCACGUAGGCGGACUGUUUAGUCAGAGGUGAAAUCCCGGGGCUCAACCUCGGAAUUGCCUUUGAUACUGGCAGUCUUGAGUUCGAGAGAGGUGAGUGGAAUUCCGAGUGUAGAGGUGAAAUUCGUAGAUAUUCGGAGGAACACCAGUGGCGAAGGCGGCUCACUGGCUCGAUACUGACGCUGAGGUGCGAAAGCGUGGGGAGCAAACAGGAUUAGAUACCCGUGUAGUCC
Molecule: ribosomal RNA, 440 nt
Filed under: uncultured bacterium
Lineage: Bacteria
Description: bacterial SSU rRNA
Rfam family: Bacterial small subunit ribosomal RNA
Source: RNAcentral